GUAAAGAACCAUUUCGAUGUUUAUUUGGGUGUUUAGAGCUCAAGGUCAGCAUGAUUCAAAUCUGUUAAACAAUUUCUCCUUGUUUAGUAAUGGAAAUUCGAGUCCUGAUUUUGACUGUACCUUUCACCUGAAGAAUUUACUACCAUGCAGAAAAGGUUUCUGGACAUACACUCUCAUGGUGGAAUAACCAAGACCGUCCAAUCUUUGCUGCAGAUCUUCUUGUUCUUUGAUUUUCUAAAGACAGUUGCCACUCUGGAGUGUGAAGUAUGUUCUGACAUUGGCACCAACUGUACUGGCAAUAUGAAGACCUGUGAGCCUGAACAAGAAACAUGCGUCAUCGUUUUAAUUCAUAACACUCUAAGUUAGUGACAAAUGCACACCACAUCUAGACUCUGUUUAAGCGAACAGUUUAGGCUAGAUGACUUUAUAGCAUCAUGACAUGGAGACAUCUAAUCCUAGCUUACAUGCCUCACCUAAGUUUAGCUGAUU
Notechis scutatus (mainland tiger snake) is the source of this 489-nucleotide non-coding RNA. Lineage: Eukaryota; Metazoa; Chordata; Lepidosauria; Squamata; Elapidae. The record is from RefSeq and is a predicted model, not a curated record.